This 228-nucleotide ribosomal RNA is filed under the name Paenibacillus zeisoli. Its description in RNAcentral is "Bacterial small subunit ribosomal RNA". It matches the Rfam family "Bacterial small subunit ribosomal RNA", at positions 1 to 218 of the family's 1533-position model. The record is from Rfam by way of RNAcentral. Lineage: Bacteria; Bacillati; Bacillota; Bacilli; Caryophanales; Paenibacillaceae.
UUCUUGGAGAGUUUGAUCCUGGCUCAGGACGAACGCUGGCGGCGUGCCUAAUACAUGCAAGUCGAGCGGACUUGAUGGAGAGCUUGCUCUCCUGAUGGUUAGCGGCGGACGGGUGAGUAACACGUAGGUAACCUGCCUGUAAGACUGGGAUAACUACCGGAAACGGUAGCUAAUACCGGAUGAUUCAUUUCACUGCAUGGUGAAUUGAUGAAAGACGGAGCAAUCUGU